RNAcentral lists this ribosomal RNA (450 nucleotides) under uncultured bacterium. RNAcentral's name for it is "partial 16S ribosomal RNA". It matches the Rfam family "Bacterial small subunit ribosomal RNA", at positions 354 to 796 of the family's 1533-position model. The record is from RNAcentral.
GUGGGGAAUAUUGGACAAUGGGCGAAAGCCUGAUCCAGCCAUGCCGCGUGUGUGAAGAAGGUCUUCGGAUUGUAAAGCACUUUAAGUUGGGAGGAAGGGCAGUAAGUUAAUACCUUGCUGUUUUGACGUUACCGACAGAAUAAGCACCGGCUAACUUCGUGCCAGCAGCCGCGGUAAUACGAAGGGUGCAAGUGUUAAUCGGAAUUACUGGGCGUAAAGCGCGCGUAGGUGGUUUUGUAAGUUGGAGGUGAAAUCCCCGGGCUCAACCUGGGAACUGCCUCCAAAACUGCAUGACUAGAGUACGGUAGAGGGUAGUGGAAUUUCCUGUGUAGCGGUGAAAUGCGUAGAUAUAGGAAGGAACACCAGUGGCUAAGGCGACUACCUGGACUGAUACUGACACUGAGGUGCGAAAGCGUGGGGAGCAAACAGGAUUAGAAACCCCGGUAGUCC